AUGGACGAAAGUCUGACGGAGCAACGCCGCGUGAGUGAUGAAGGCUUUCGGGUCGUAAAACUCUGUUGUUAGGGAAGAACAAGUGCUAGUUGAAUAAGCUGGCACCUUGACGGUACCUAACCAGAAAGCCACGGCUAACUACGUGCCAGCAGCCGCGGUAAUACGUAGGUGGCAAGCGUUAUCCGGAAUUAUUGGGCGUAAAGCGCGCGCAGGUGGUUUCUUAAGUCUGAUGUGAAAGCCCACGGCUCAACCGUGGAGGGUCAUUGGAAACUGGGAGACUUGAGUGCAGAAGAGGAAAGUGGAAUUCCAUGUGUAGCGGUGAAAUGCGUAGAGAUAUGGAGGAACACCAGUGGCGAAGGCGACUUUCUGGUCUGUAACUGACACUGAGGCGCGAAAGCGUGGGGAGCAAACAGGAUUAGAUACCCUGGUAGUCCACGCCGUAAACGAUGAGUGCUAAGUGUUAGAGGGUUUCCGCCCUUUAGUGCUGAAGUUAACGCAUUAAGCACUCCGCCUGGGGA
This 518-nucleotide ribosomal RNA is filed under the name denitrifying bacterium M1289. Its description in RNAcentral is "bacterial SSU rRNA". It matches the Rfam family "Bacterial small subunit ribosomal RNA", at positions 371 to 879 of the family's 1533-position model. The record is from RNAcentral.